GCAUAACGCGAAGAACCUUACCCACCUUUGACAUGUACGGAAUCCUUUAGAGAUAGAGGAGUGCUCGAAAGAGAGCCGUAACACAGGUGCUGCAUGGCUGUCGUCAGCUCGUGUCGUGAGAUGUUGGGUUAAGUCCCGCAACGAGCGCAACCCUUGCCAUUAGUUGCUACAUUUAGUUGAGCACUCUAAUGGGACUGCCGGUGACAAACCGGAGGAAGGUGGGGAUGACGUCAAGUCCUCAUGGCCCUUAUAGGUGGGGCUACACACGUCAUACAAUGGCUGGUACAAAGGGUUGCCAACCCGCGAGGGGGAGCUAAUCCCAUAAAGCCAGUCGUGGUCCGGAUCGCAGUCUGCAACUCGACUGCGUGAAGUCGGAAUCGCUAGUAAUCGUGGAUCAGAAUGUCACGGUGAAUACGUUCCCGGGUCUUGUACACACCG
Molecule: ribosomal RNA, 438 nt
Filed under: uncultured bacterium
Lineage: Bacteria
Description: bacterial SSU rRNA
Rfam family: Bacterial small subunit ribosomal RNA
Source: RNAcentral